This 492-nucleotide ribosomal RNA is filed under the name uncultured bacterium. Its description in RNAcentral is "partial 16S ribosomal RNA". It matches the Rfam family "Bacterial small subunit ribosomal RNA", at positions 29 to 507 of the family's 1533-position model. The record is from RNAcentral.
AGUGAACGCUGGCGGUAGGCCUAACACAUGCAAGUCGAACGGCAGCACAGUAAGAGCUUGCUCUUACGGGUGGCGAGUGGCGGACGGGUGAGGAAUACAUCGGAAUCUACUUUUUCGUGGGGGAUAACGUAGGGAAACUUACGCUAAUACCGCAUACGACCUACGGGUGAAAGCAGGGGAUCUUCGGACCUUGCGCGAUUGAAUGAGCCGAUGUCGGAUUAGCUAGUUGGCGUGGUAAAGGCUCACCAAGGCGACGAUGCGUAGCUGGUCUGAGAGGAUGAUCAGCCACACUGGAACUGAGACACGGUCCAGACUCCUACGGGAGGCAGCAGUAGGGAAUAUUGGACAAUGGGCGCAAGCCUGAUCCAGCCAUACCGCGUGAGUGAAGAAGGCCUUCGGGUUGUAAAGCCCUUUUGUUAGGAAAGAAAAGCAGCAGGUUAAUACCCCGCUGUUCUGACGGUACCCAAAGAAUAAGCACCGGCUAACUUCGUG